UACGGAGGGUGCGAGCGUUAUCCGGAUUUACUGGGUUUAAAGGGUGUGUAGGCGGAAUAUUAAGUCAGUGGUGAAAUCUUCAGGCUCAACCUGGAAACUGCCAUUGAUACUAUUGUUCUUGAAUACUGUGGAGGUGAGCGGAAUGUGUCAUGUAGCGGUGAAAUGCAUAGAGAUGACGCAGAACACCGAUUGCGAAGGCAGCUCACUACGCAGUUAUUGACGCUGAGGCACGAAAGCGUGGGGAUCAAACAGG
This 253-nucleotide ribosomal RNA is filed under the name uncultured bacterium. Its description in RNAcentral is "partial 16S ribosomal RNA". It matches the Rfam family "Bacterial small subunit ribosomal RNA", at positions 524 to 776 of the family's 1533-position model. The record is from RNAcentral.